UCCUGUGAAGGUGAGUCGUAAGGCUUGCUGGAGGUAUCGGAAGUGCGAAUGCUGACAUGAGUAACGAUAAGGGGGGUGAAAAGCCUCCCCGCCGAAAGCCCAAGGUUUCCUCGCGCAACGUUCAUCGGCGCAGGGUGAGUCGGCCCCUAAGGCGAGGCAGAAAUGCGUAGUCGAUGGGAAGCAGGUUAAUAUUCCUGCACUUUUCUACAGUGCGAUGUGGGGACGGAGAAGGUUAGGUCUACCAGGCGUUGUCUGUCCUGGGGAAAGGCGGUAGGCAUGAUUCUUAGGCAAAUCCGGGAAUCUUUAUGCCGAGCACCGAGACGAGUCCUAUGAGGACGAAGUGACUGACACCACGCUUCCAGGAAAAGCCACUAAGCUUCAGCUGUAGAAAAACCGUACCGUAAACCGACACUGGUAGGCAGGGUGAGAAUCCCAAGGCGCUUGAGAGAACUCGGGUGAAGGGACUAGGCAAAAUGGCACCGUAACUUCGGGAGAAGGUGCGCCCUUUGGUGUGGUCACGUGCGUGACUGAGCAUCGAAGGGUCGCAGUAACCUGGCCGCUGCGACUGUUUAUCAAAAACACAGCACUCUGCAAACACGAAAGUGGACGUAUAGGGUGUGACGCCUGCCCGGUGCUGGAAGGUUAAUUGAUGGGGUCAGCCGCAAGGCGAAGCUCUUGAUCGAAGCCCCAGUAAACGGCGGCCGUAACAAUAACGGUCCUAAGGUAGCGAAAUUCCUUGUCGGGUAAGUUCCGACCUGCACGAAUGGCGUAACGACAGCGGCGCUGUCUCCACCCGAGACUCAGUGAAAUUGAAAUCGCUGUGAAGAUGCAGCGUUCCCGCGGCAAGACGGAAAGACCCCGUGAACCUUUACUAUAGCUUUACAUUGAACGUUGAGUUCUUCUGUGUAGGAUAGGUGGGAGGCUAUGAAACCGAGACGCUAGUUUCGGUGGAGCCAUCCUUGAAAUACCACCCUGAAGUGCUUGACGUUCUAACCUAGGUCCGUAAUCCGGAUCGGGGACCAUGUAUGGUGGGUAGUUUGACUGGGGCGGUCUCCUCCCAAAGUAACGGAGGAGCACGAAGGUACGCUCAGCGCGGUCGGACAUCGCGCACUGUGUGCAAAGGCAUAAGCGUGCUUGACUGCGAGAUCGACGGAUCAAGCAGGUACGAAAGUAGGUCUUAGUGAUCCGGUGGUUCUGUAUGGAAGGGCCAUCGCUCAACGGAUAAAAGGUACUCCGGGGAUAACAGGCUGAUACCGCCCAAGAGUUCAUAUCGACGGCGGUGUUUGGCACCUCGAUGUCGGCUCAUCACAUCCUGGGGCUGUAGCCGGUCCCAAGGGUAUGGCUGUUCGCCAUUUAAAGUGGUACGCGAGCUGGGUUCAGAACGUCGUGAGACAGUUCGGUCCCUAUCUGUCGUGGGCGUUGGAGAUUUGAGGGGGGCUGCUCCUAGUACGAGAGGACCGGAGUGGACGUUCCGCUGGUGUUCGGGUUGUCAUGCCCAUGGCAUUGCCCGGUAGCUACGAACGGAAGUGAUAACCGCUGAAAGCAUCUAAGCGGGAAGCACGCCCCAAGAUGAGAUCUCCCGAGAGCUAGACUCUCCUUAAGGCACCAUCAAGACUAGGUGGUUGAUAGGCACGGUGUGGAAGUGCAGCAAUGCAUUGAGCUUACGUGUACUAAUGAGCCGUGAGGCUUGACC
Molecule: ribosomal RNA, 1693 nt
Filed under: metagenome
Description: bacterial LSU rRNA
Rfam family: Bacterial large subunit ribosomal RNA
Source: RNAcentral